Molecule: transfer RNA, 35 nt
Filed under: Microtus obscurus (Altai voie)
Lineage: Eukaryota; Metazoa; Chordata; Mammalia; Rodentia; Cricetidae
Description: partial tRNA-Glu
Source: RNAcentral
GUUUCUAUAGUUGAAUAACAACGAUGAUUUUUCAU